This 372-nucleotide ribosomal RNA is filed under the name uncultured bacterium. RNAcentral's name for it is "partial 16S ribosomal RNA". It matches the Rfam family "Bacterial small subunit ribosomal RNA", at positions 523 to 893 of the family's 1533-position model. The record is from RNAcentral.
AUACGUAGGGGGCGAGCGUUGUCCGGAAUGAUUGGGCGUAAAGGGCGCGUAGGCGGCCCGGUAAGUCUGGAGUGAAAGUCCUGUUUUUAAGAUGGGAAUUGCUUUGGAUACUGUCGGGCUUGAGUGCAGGAGAGGUAAGUGGAAUUCCCAGUGUAGCGGUGAAAUGCGUAGAGAUUGGGAGGAACACCAGUGGCGAAGGCGACUUACUGGACUGUAACUGACGCUGAGGCGCGAAAGUGUGGGGAGCAAACAGGAUUAGAUACCCUGGUAGUCCACACUGUAAACGAUGAAUGCUAGGUGUAGGGGGUAUCGACCCCUUCUGUGCCGCAGUCAACACAAUAAGCAUUCCGCCUGGGGAGUACGGCCGCAAGG